This 248-nucleotide ribosomal RNA is filed under the name uncultured euryarchaeote. RNAcentral's name for it is "partial 16S ribosomal RNA". It matches the Rfam family "Archaeal small subunit ribosomal RNA", at positions 478 to 725 of the family's 1478-position model. The record is from RNAcentral. Lineage: Archaea; Methanobacteriati; Methanobacteriota.
GGCGGCUCGAGUGGUGGCCACUAUUACUGGGCUUAAAGCGUUCGUAGCUGGUCUGUUAAGUCUCUGGGGAAAUCUGCCGGCUUAACCGGCAGGCGUUUCAGGGAUACUGGCAGACUAGGGACCGGGAGAGGUGAGGGGUACUCCAGGGGUAGGAGUGAAAUCCUGUAAUCCUUGGGGGACCACCUGUGGCGAAGGCGCCUCACCAGAACGGCUCCGACAGUGAGGGACGAAAGCUGGGGGAGCAAACC